UGGCAGUACUUUUGGUGUGUACCUCAG
RNAcentral lists this non-coding RNA (27 nucleotides) under Mus musculus (house mouse). Lineage: Eukaryota; Metazoa; Chordata; Mammalia; Rodentia; Muridae. The record is from RNAcentral.